Molecule: non-coding RNA, 280 nt
Organism: Rattus norvegicus (Norway rat)
Lineage: Eukaryota; Metazoa; Chordata; Mammalia; Rodentia; Muridae
Source: RefSeq, a predicted model, not a curated record
UUUGUUGGGCCACAGAGUGGCCAUUGUGAGCUGCUCAAAUAGCUUACUGCUCCUCUCUACCCUUCCCAGUGCCCUCAGGCUGACUUCUGUCUGAGGCCCCCAGUCACCCACAUAUUAGAUUUCUCCACUGCAGAUCAAAGGGAGGGUUUAAGAUGUGAGCUCGCAGCUUCCAUUCUGAGCCACCAUACUUGCCGCUGUCCUAAUUCUCCACUGAGAUGGUGAUGGAUUCUAAAGCCUCCAGAAACCUAAGCCCAAAAUAAACCCUUUCUUCUGUAAGGAA